ACCAACAGCGAAAACUAGAGAAAAAAAAAUAUUGCCAAUUGCUGUUUACGAUUCUCGCCUAGUAUACAUAAACAUUGACGUAGGCUUUGUUGACCUUUUCACUUUUGAAUAACAAGUUCUGGAAUAUUCUGCGUGUUUGUUCGUCACCUUUCUAUGUACCUCAUUGCAACAAGACGUCAGAAACAGAAAAUGUAAACAAUUUCUUUUUUCGGUAGUGGAAUUAGUGCUCUGUAAGUUUAAGUGAUGAUUUUUAUUUUUAAGUUUGGUUUAAAUAAUGUAUUUUAUAAAAAAAAUUGUGCCUAAAGUUGCCAGAAUGAUACACGGGAGCUGAUCGUUGCUGUGGCUGGAAGAUAUGCUAAGGCUGACCGGAUAUGUGACCUGUUGGGUCAGCGAUGACAAGUGAUAAGUGACCUGUUGGAUCAGCGAUGAAAACAAUCGGUUGGAAGUAGAUCUGGGACCAUCCGAGAGCCACCACGAAAGCUAGCCUGUCUGCAUUCGGUUUCGGCCGCCAAUAAGCGACCGACGAUGACGAUGAUGAGCGUAACCGCUUCGAUCCUGCAGCAGCAGAAAUUUAAGCAACAUCACAAUCAAGCUACUCACCACCAAACAAAGAACGAGAUCUGAAACCACCAGCUACAACAGCACCAGGAACCAACGAUUAACAUAGAUCAGAGGAACGCAGCCAAUUUAUCGGCGGCCGGAGUUGGUGACAACGGGUUCAACUACAUGCAGUAGCAGGAAGUGCCAUCGACGCUAAGUGGCGGCAGUAAUUCGACUCCUUCUAAACCGUUGUUGACCAUGAAAAUUACUUCUUCUCCUGCUGUUUCAUCUGGAUCGUCGUAUCUGUUAGUGUUUCAGCUCAGCUCAGCCCCUGCCGUCCGCAGCAGCAGCAAUAACACCAGCAAUUCGACGACAUCGCUCAUUUCCAGUCCAGUGCCAGGUGUGUGUUCAUGUAAUAUCGGAGGCUAAGUGUAAUUCCCGGUUUUAGAUCGAGCCCAAUCGUUGAUCAACUUUUCCCAGUUUAGACCAGUUUUUAGUUGCUUUUAUAAAAAAUCUCUUUCUAAAAUCAUUUUCCAAAUAAUCAUUUUUUAUAAACUAAUGAACGUUGUACAUAAUGAUCCAAUCUAAAUUCAUCCAUUUUUUUUAGUAAUCAAGCGUGAUCUCAGAACUACUGAUAUAUUUCGAAAAAAGGUAGAAGUUUGGUCUAUCAUUAAUAAGAAAAGUUUUGAAAACGGAAUAUGAUGUUUAAUUUUAUGAAUCUGCGUAUAUUAGCUAUAAUAAUGUUCAAUUAUUGAUCAAAUUGUCGUAAAAAUUGUUGUUAUGAUGAUGUUUCACCAGAUAUUUAAAGUUGUCAUGAAAUUUAAUAUAAUAAAAACACACUUGAAAAAU
Uranotaenia lowii is the source of this 1389-nucleotide long non-coding RNA. RefSeq lists it as uncharacterized. The transcript has 3 exons. Lineage: Eukaryota; Metazoa; Arthropoda; Insecta; Diptera; Culicidae. The record is from RefSeq and is a predicted model, not a curated record.